RNAcentral lists this small RNA (28 nucleotides) under Bombyx mori (domestic silkworm). RNAcentral describes it as "ovarian small RNA-12780". Lineage: Eukaryota; Metazoa; Arthropoda; Insecta; Lepidoptera; Bombycidae. The record is from RNAcentral.
CAACCAUGGCCGGUAAGCAUCUGCGUUA